This 262-nucleotide long non-coding RNA is filed under the name Glycine max (soybean). Its description in RNAcentral is "long non-coding RNA (GMAX_LNC001030)". The record is from RNAcentral. Lineage: Eukaryota; Viridiplantae; Streptophyta; Magnoliopsida; Fabales; Fabaceae.
GGGAACAUAGGAAGUGGAGGUGAAUCUGUGGUCAUGCUAAGUCUCCGACUUGCUUGAUGACAGUGAAGCCUCAUCUAGAUUUUUUCUCUUUGAUAAUAUGUUGUCGCUGGUUGCCCCUACCGCCACAAUAUUGGUAUCAAAGGGAAUGAUAUCUCUAGAGACCUUUGAAAUCUAGAUAUGACCGCCUUGGGAAUUAUCACUAAAUGCCUUUUAGUUCCUCCCAUUUAGGUUCUUGAAAUAGGGGCACGAAGCGAACACGCUA